GCAGGGUUGUUGAAAUCAAAUUUAGGGACUUUACUGACGGGACUCUGGGCUGGCUGCUCUGUUCACUCGUCAGCGCAAGUGGCGUGACCAUGUAAUUGGGGCACGGGGCCGGCGCGGCGCGCUGCGGGCUUGCAGAAUUUUGUUUGUUUGUUUGGCCGCGCGCUGGCGCAGCCACGGGCCGCAGUUACUGGGGCGCGCUGUCGUAACAAGCCGCGCGGUGUGGCCUGCACAUUGGGGUAGAGGGGGGGGUAGUCUUCCCAGAUGUUCUAGUUAGUUGUUUAGUAAAUUUGACUUCAAUAACGAGCUUUUGUUAUGGUAGGCGCGGCAGGGCGCGCGAAUUUAAGCGCAAGUGAGUAGGAAUUCAGGCUCACUCAGGCGGAGGCUAUGCGUCUCACCUGUGGUCACGAGUUGUUAGUUCGUUCGUGAUGUAGGAAUUCAGGCUCACUCAGGCGGAGGCUAUGCGUCUCACCUGUGGUCACGAGUUGUUAGUUCGUUCGUGAUGUAGGAAUUCAAGCUUUCGGGCGGAAGCUAUGGUCGACGCCAGAGGCCACGAGUCGUUUAAUUUAAGUUAGGUCAUAAUGUAGUCGUCAAGCUUUCGGGCGGAGGCUAUGGCCCUCGUCAGGGGUCACGCGUCAUAGUUUUUAAAAUGUAAUGUUCGUUCGGGAUUUCAAGGGCAGGAGAGGCCCCUACGUUAUUUUUUUUAAAGUAAUCGAUCAAGAAAGGCUUUUCGGAAAAUGUGAGUAUGGACUUAUCUUUGUUUUAAUUUUAAGUAUUAAUUAUGAUUUGAGGUAUUCGGAAGGACUAGGGAAGUGUUUAGUGAAGUUCUCUCAUUCUCUCUCUUGUAAGGUCGUUCAAUCGUUAAGGAAGUAAAGAGAUUAUUGUUUUAAAUUGUAAUCCCGCUAUUUAAAUGUUCUUUAAAAUGAUGUUGAGUAUUUGACUUUAAGAAUAAAAUAAUUUUAAUUAAGUAUUAUGUUAUUUUGCAAAAUCUCCUUAGUUCAGCUCUCACCAGACAUCCUGUACGGGAUGACGAACCUAUGAUCCUAGGUACAGUAAAGUAUUUUAUGAAGUUAAGACUAGUUGAUGCCAAGCGAGUUGUUUCUAUGUAAAGAGCUACGAUUCUCUCCCCCCUCUGAAAGUGAGACGUGACAGAAAUGGCGGUGGCACCGGCUAGGUGCACGUGACAGAAAUGGUGGAGGCGCCGGGUAGGUUCUAUUUCUGGAGAGAGAGAGAGGUAGAUUUUUAUGUUUAUUAUUAAGUUAGUUUCAGCUUCUGAUAGCAGGUUAUUAAGAGUUUACUUGAGGAGAGGAUUACGGAAUUUUAGUCUAUAGUGGAGGAAGUCUUUGAGAUUUUUUUUUGACGUAACAGAUGUUUAUUUGAGGAUACUUGUAAGGAUAAAGUUUAUAGUGAUAAGUUGUUUUAAGUCGUUGAAUUUAUUGUAGAUUUAUAUCGGGGAUUAUUACGUGAGGAGAAUACGUUAUAAGUUAAAUGCUUAUUAGAGAUAAUGCAAGUGGUUUAAUUUAAUUGAAGUUCAUUUUAAGAUUGUAGGUUAAGAGAAUUAUAAUUUAAAAUAAAGUUUUUUGUCGUAAAUAGGAAUUAUUUUCAAGAGAAGUUUGUUUUGUUUUCGUGCGCGUAGGAGACGAGACGUACGAAUUAAAUCAGUCGAGGAAAGGAUAAACGUUAGAAAGGAAUUAAAGAGAAAACGAGAGUUUAUGUAAAAGAGAGUUAUAGAAUUUAUAGUGAUGUUUUGUUUUAAUUAGAAAAAUGUUGAGAGUUGUUUCAGAACGACACGUCAGUGGACGUGGCAGAGUGAACACGUGACGGGGAGGUGCUGAGACCUAGCGGAGAACGGAGGAACCGCAAGCGAGGGUUGGCGCACCUGAUGGAAUUCGGUGACGUCACGGGCUCAUACGGAGACGUGGACAGGCCGUGACCUUGUUUUGAUCAGCUGUACGGUAACUUAACGAUAAGAAAAUAGACUAUUGGUUAAAUAAAUUUAAAUUUAAGUGUGUUUUAGGAGAAGAGGAACUUUCAGUAUAUUCCUUAAGAUGAGCUGAGCAGCAGUCCAGUUUACAAGAUGACAAGAGUUCGAGAGACAAGAUACAAGAUCACUGAAACAAGAGCCAAGACUGAAGAUUCAAGAGAAGAGAAAGCUGGCAGCCAUGGACUUACAAGUGGAGAUUAAUAAGGUCAUGUAAAGUUUUAUUUUUUUUAUGGAAGACAGUAACUGGAGUUUUUUUUUGUUAUAAACAUUAUUUACAGAACUUUUUAGGUUAUAGUAAUGUAAUGGAACUAGUGAGUUGUGGUAGCUGUCAAAAAGAACUAAUACCUUAAGUUUAAUUUUUAAAGUUAAUUUUCUUAAUUUACAGAGGGAUUAGUAGUUUUUUUAAACCUUAUUUAGGUUGGAAUUUAAAUACAAUAGCUUAUUAUAAAUGUGUACGAACAGUUCAAGUUCACAGUACUGAUAGGUAGGUCAGAUGAUCUUAUUGAUUUUGAUGAUUUGUUGUUUUGAGUUGAUUUUUAAGUGUUGUGAAUUAGACAAUGAAAUAGUUCUGAAAACUUAAAUUAUUUCAAGCUAAGAAAUAGUAAAGUUAAUUGUAACUCAAAGGACACCAGAAUUUAAUUUUUUUUUGAAUUAGUAAUGUUUGAAAAUUUUAUACUUUACAAGAAAGGUUAUAAACAAACAGAUCGGAUGGAACAAGAAUGCAGUAAAUCACAAUUUCAUUUAGAAUUAUUGAUUAGCUUUUGAGGUUAUGAAGUAAAAGUAAUUAUAGUUUAAAAGUUUGAAAAAAAAAAAUGUUUUUUUUUAUUUGUUUGAAAUAGAAAGUUUAAAAGUUAAUUAGUCAUGAUCUAGGUGGGUGAUGGGGUGGGAAUUGGCCACUCUUUUUCCCUAUAACCUCCCUAACAUGGCCUUCUAUUACAACUAACAGAAAUAAAGAAGAAGAAAAAUGAAGAAUUAUUAGUUAGAAUGUUUCUUUCAUGAAGAUACCUGAUGAACUUUUACUGUUUGGAAGAAUAGAAGCAAGGUUAGUCAGAUAUUUUUACUCAGAAGAAGAAGAAGAUAAAGCAGUUUUAUGACUCGACAAGCCAGAGAUUGGUGUUUCCCCUCUGCGCUUCUAUUGACUACGUUGUUUACUCUCAUGGGAUAGCUGGUUCGGCACCAUGGAGAGAGAUUGGUGGGCAUUGUGGUUGCCCCCAGAAGAAAAGAAGAGUAGAAGAGGUUAUGGGUGGGUCAUGUGAACUGACCUUCAACCCAGGUACUUCGUGGGGACUAUUUGCUGUAUAGAGAAGAUCAAGACUCAAGAGUUAGGGAAAAUCAUUUGAGGUCAUGUUUCCCUUCCUUAAGUUUUUCCUAUCAAAUUAUUUGCCUGAUUAGAUUAUGCUAAGGGUGGGAUACUUUAUGUUAGCAGUUGAAUUAAUUAAUUUUAUUUUUUUUGUGUGUUUGCAUCCUUGCCCAUCGAUUGCAGUUUAGUAGUUAGUUUUGUAUUUGUCAGGCGUGAUGGUAAUGCCUGUUGAUGAUGUUUCAGAAUUGUAAUCUGUUCGUGAUGAGGAUGGCACAACUCCGAAGCAGAUGUGGGGAGAAGUUGUGAGCUGCCCUGGAAGCCAGUCCAGUAGCUGUUGGAGUUGAGUGGUGUUUGCUGAUGGCCAGCCCAGGGAGCUACUCUUCUCGACAACACUGACUUCGAGGAGUUGCACCAACCUUCACGAGAUAAGAGUUUAAUUAAUUGAAACACUGUAAGGACACUUAAUUUUUUUUGAAGAACGAAAGAAGUAUGGUAAUAAACGGAAACUGAAAAAAAAAAAAAAA
Molecule: long non-coding RNA, 3805 nt
Organism: Bacillus rossius redtenbacheri
Lineage: Eukaryota; Metazoa; Arthropoda; Insecta; Phasmatodea; Bacillidae
Exons: 2
Source: RefSeq, a predicted model, not a curated record